UACGGCCAUAAAACGUUGAAACCCCGGUUCUUGUACGAUCAGCAAAGUUAAGCAACGACGAGCCCGGUCAGUACCAAGACGGGUAACCGCUUUGGAAGAGCAGGUGCUU
Molecule: non-coding RNA, 109 nt
Organism: Acanthosepion pharaonis
Lineage: Eukaryota; Metazoa; Mollusca; Cephalopoda; Sepiida; Sepiidae
Source: the annotation of a GenBank genome assembly